UACGUAGGUGGCAAGCGUUGUCCGGAUUUACUGGGCGUAAAGAGCGCGCAGGCGGUUGUUUUAGUCGAAUGUGAAAGCCCCCGGCUCAACUGGGGAGGGUCAUUCGAUACUGAUCGACUUGAAGGCAGGAGAGGGAAGUGGAAUUCCGGGUGUAGUGGUGAAAUGCGUAGAUAUCGGGAGGAACACCAGUGGCGAAGGCGGCUCUCUGGACCGGCACUGACGCUGAGACGCGAAAGCGUGGGUAGCAAACAGG
This 253-nucleotide ribosomal RNA is filed under the name uncultured bacterium. Its description in RNAcentral is "partial 16S ribosomal RNA". It matches the Rfam family "Bacterial small subunit ribosomal RNA", at positions 524 to 776 of the family's 1533-position model. The record is from RNAcentral.